GUCCACGCCGUAAACGAUGGGUGCUAGGUGUCGCGGGCUUUGACCCCUGCGGUGCCGCAGCUAACGCAUUAAGCACCCCGCCUGGGGAGUACGGCCGCAAGGCUAAAACUCAAAGGAAUUGACGGGGGCCCCGCACAAGCGGUGGAGCAUGUGGUUUAAUUCGACGCAACGCGCAGAACCUUACCUGGGCUAGAAAAUGCGAGAACCUGGUUGAAAGGUCGGGGUGCUCUUCGGAGAACUCGUAGUUAGGUGCUGCAUGGCUGUCGU
RNAcentral lists this ribosomal RNA (267 nucleotides) under uncultured bacterium. RNAcentral describes it as "partial 16S ribosomal RNA". It matches the Rfam family "Bacterial small subunit ribosomal RNA", at positions 793 to 1055 of the family's 1533-position model. The record is from RNAcentral.